AAGUCGUAACAAGGUUUCCGUAGGUGAACCUGCGGAAGGAUCAUUAAUGAGUUCUUUAAAGUAGACUUGAUGCUGGCGGUCUUUAUUGAUUGCAUGUGCUCGGUUUGCGCUCAACCCACUCAACACCUGUGCACCUUAUUGGAGUUAAUAGUAUUUGGAUUUCUGAAAGGAAGGUCCUUAUUACGAACACUUCAUUUUUUCAUAAACCUUUAUAUUGUCUGUCAGAAUGUAAUGCCUCUUGUAGGUGAAAUUUUAAUAUAACUUUCAACAACGGAUCUCUUGGCUCUCGCAUCGAUGAAGAACGCAGCGAAAUGCGAUAAGUAAUGUGAAUUGCAGAAUUCAGUGAAUCAUCGAAUCUUUGAACGCACCUUGCACUCCUUGGUAUUCCGAGGAGUAUGCCUGUUUGAGUGUCAUGUUAAUCUCAAAUCCCUCUUUGUAAUGAAGUUGGAUUUGGACUUGGAGUCUGCUGGCAGUUUUAUAUUGUCGGCUUCUCUUGAAUGUAUUAGCUGGGCUUUCGCUCGUGCGGUUUGGUGUGAUAGUAUUAUUCACCAUAUACGCACUUGUGUAAUGAGUCUGCUUCUAACCGUCCCGUUUGUUGGACAACUUAACUUUUUGACCUUUGACCCAAAUCAGGUAGGACUACCCGCUGAACUUAAGCAUAUCAAUAAGCGGAGGAAAAGAAACUAACAAGGAUUCCCCUAGUAACUGCGAGUGAAGCGGGAAAAGCUCAAAUUUAAAAUCUGGCGGUUUUACCGUCCGAGUUGUAAUCUGGAGAAGUGUUUUCCGUGCUGGACCGUGUACAAGUCUCCUG
This 811-nucleotide small RNA is filed under the name Poriodontia subvinosa. RNAcentral describes it as "eukaryotic LSU rRNA". The stretch from base 260 to 413 matches the Rfam family "5.8S ribosomal RNA". The record is from RNAcentral. Lineage: Eukaryota; Fungi; Basidiomycota; Agaricomycetes; Hymenochaetales; Schizoporaceae.